Long non-coding RNA from Homo sapiens (human), 490 nucleotides. Ensembl annotates it as SLC16A1 antisense RNA 1. Its record names the gene SLC16A1-AS1. The record is from Ensembl. Lineage: Eukaryota; Metazoa; Chordata; Mammalia; Primates; Hominidae.
GGCGCGUAGUAGAGGGAAGCGACUGAGGAGCGGGGACUGGGCAGCAUUUGAAUGGAUGCGGGUGCCGCUGGCACCCGGGAAGACGCCUGGGAGCCGGCGCUGGGGAGCCGGGCAUGGGCUGGGAUGUGUUUGGAUUCCAAUCUGGGCCUGACACCAGUUCAGUGACCUCGGGAAGUUCCCCAACCCUGCGGGCCUGUUUCCUCCCUCUGAAGUGGCGACAGUAAUAGAACCGACCUCGUAGGCUCAUCGGGAGGUCCUGAUGGGAGAACCCAUGCAACUUGCCACCACAGAGCCAGGCCCGCGGCGACUGGCUCCUGGUGGGUAUUAAAGACGAGUCGGGAAAGAAGAGCAGGCUCAAUCAAACCUUCAAUGGCCCCGAAAGACAUCUUGAUUGAAACCUCAUGAGAGACUCUGAGCCAGAAAACCCAGCAACUUAGAACCCAGAUACCUGACCAUCAGCCACUGUGUGAAAUAAUAAAUGUUUGUUGUU